This 1002-nucleotide long non-coding RNA is filed under the name Androctonus crassicauda. The record is from RNAcentral. Lineage: Eukaryota; Metazoa; Arthropoda; Arachnida; Scorpiones; Buthidae.
GAUAAAUUUUAAAGGUUAAAUCGAAGGAGUUAUGAAUAUUAAAUAUGUAUUCUUUCUUAAAUAAAAAUACGGUUUCAGUAUUCUGCCUCCUUCAUAACAAUGAUAUAUAUCGAUAGAGUUCAUUAAAAAUUGAACAAACUUUUUAAAAGAUCUAAAUUUCCGAAUUAUACCGUACAUUUUUUCCGCACUUUUUUAACGCUUAAAGAGUAUUACAAAAUAUUGUAUGAAAAAAUAUAUUAAACCGAUUAUAAUGCAAUAUAAUUUAAUGAUAAAUAAAACUUGGUAAAAUUUCAAAUUUAUAAAGAAACUUUUCGAAAAUGCAAAUUAGUUAUCAUCAAAUAAUAGGCCUAUAACGAUAUGACCUUAAUUUUUCUACAGUUAAUACGAAUCAAUUACUGUAUUUAUAAUUAUUCAUUAACUGUCAGAGCUGGUUUUUUUCUUUGUCAUCAAGUGAGCAUUCGGAGAGUAAUACACGCCCCAGGAGUUCCUUGCAGGUAUUUGUUACGGCCUCUUGUAAAGAUAGUAUUUGUUAUAGCCUGGCGGGGGUUAUUUGUCACGAGGAGGUCUUACCUAAAACGUUAGAUCACUUAUAUAUUUUUAGAUUACGUAUUGCGGAGAGAAACUUAAAAGAUUUCCUAGCAUCUGGAAUCUCCUAUAUAAAGAUUCCAAAGAGUAUACAGUCUUGAAAGUAGUAGGAUCACAUGAAUCAAAAACAAAAACGGAAAUUAUUCUCAAACAUAUACUUUGGCAGUCAUGAAAUGUAUUAACAUUACUAUUAAACAUUUAAAAUUAUUGUUCGAUGCAAUAAAAAUUUCUGUUGCAUUGUUCGUUUUAGGAUUAUUACGCCUAUCGAUUUUUUUUAAAAUUGCAGGAAAUGACAUUCGGAUAUCAACCGUGACACGAGCGGAGCAGUUAAUAAAAAUAGUUCGUAACAUAAAAAAAGACAAUAAAGCUAACCAUUUUUGAGACACUAAAGUUCUAUCUGUAAUAAUUUUUGGUACG